RNAcentral lists this ribosomal RNA (542 nucleotides) under Phomopsis sp. E10211e. Its description in RNAcentral is "eukaryotic LSU rRNA". The stretch from base 187 to 340 matches the Rfam family "5.8S ribosomal RNA". The record is from RNAcentral. Lineage: Eukaryota; Fungi; Ascomycota; Sordariomycetes; Diaporthales; Diaporthaceae.
AGGGAUCAUUGCUGGAACGCGCUUCGGCGCACCCAGAAACCCUUUGUGAACUUAUACCUAUUUGUUGCCUCGGCGUAGGCCGGCCUCUUCACUGAGGCCCCCUGGAAACAGGGAGCAGCCCGCCGGCGGCCAACUAAACUCUUGUUUCUAUAGUGAAUCUCUGAGUAAAAAACAUAAAUGAAUCAAAACUUUCAACAACGGAUCUCUUGGUUCUGGCAUCGAUGAAGAACGCAGCGAAAUGCGAUAAGUAAUGUGAAUUGCAGAAUUCAGUGAAUCAUCGAAUCUUUGAACGCACAUUGCGCCCUCUGGUAUUCCGGAGGGCAUGCCUGUUCGAGCGUCAUUUCAACCCUCAAGCCUGGCUUGGUGAUGGGGCACUGCCUGUAAAAGGGCAGGCCCUGAAAUCUAGUGGCGAGCUCGCCAGGACCCCGAGCGUAGUAGUUAUAUCUCGCUCUGGAAGGCCCUGGCGGUGCCCUGCCGUUAAACCCCCAACUUCUGAAAAUUUGACCUCGGAUCAGGUAGGAAUACCCGCUGAACUUAAGCAU